CUUCGUCGUAACUACAAGCAAGAAGGAGGAGGUGUGACUCGUGGGGUUUGAGGAGAUAGUGUCGAUGUAGGAACGUAAAGGCUAUUCAAUAAUGAAAGAGGGUAUCGAUCUCGUUGCCGGCGGCCGGAGCAAGAAGGCCAGCCGCAUCGCCCCCAAAUCCGAUGAUGUCUACCUCAAUCUCCUCGUGAAGGUUUCUGGUGCGGAGGACCGGGAACAAGUUCAACACAGUGAUCCUGAAGCGGCUGUUCAUGAGCAAAAUCAACCGGCCGCGCAUCUCCCUCAAGAGUUUCAUCACUUUCAUGCAAGGAAAGGAUCAAUCUUUUUUCUUCGUUCUUAUUCUUUGCCAAGUAUUCUUCAUAUCUUUCUAGGCUCGAGCCGCAUUAAUGUUCCGGUUGCAAUUAGGACGACAAGAUAAGCCGUUGGGACUGUGACGGAUGAUAAGAGAGUGUCCGAUGUGCCGGCAUUGAACGUGACGGCUUUGAAGUUCACGGAGACGGCUAGGGCAAGGAUCCUGAAGUCUGGAGGGGAGUGCUUGACCUUCGAUCAGCUCGCCCUCCGAGCUCCUCUUGGGCAGAACAUGGCAACCAAAUUAGAGUUGGGUGUGUCCUUAUUCUUACGUGUGGUGACUUGUUGCAGACAUCAUUAGAAAAUUCCUCAUCCAAGUGAUUACUUCUAUGUUCUUCCAAGGGAUUGAAAUUAUAUUUGAGGGAGUCAAUCCUCUUAAAUCUUGAGUGAUGAUAUUGUUCAUAAUCCCAGCUCAUUAUGAGAUCUUCCAUUUUCUGGAACAUCAGAGAAAAUACAUAACGACAUUAUCUGAGCAAUAUAAGGUUCUCUUGAGAGGCCCAAAGAAUGCCCGGAAGCUGUUAAACACUAUGGUAAAGCUCCUGGUGUGCCGCACAGCCAUACAAAGCCUUACGUACGCUCUAAGGGGAGGAAGGGCCAGAGGAAGAAGAAACAGCAGUGGGUUCAGGGUCCGAGUCAGUUGAGCUGUUCUUGAGCAAUAACAGUUCAGUCAAUUAGGGUUUACUUUUACUGUCGUGUGUUGUAGAAUUCGGGGACGCAGCAACUGAGGAUCUCAAGGAUUUCUUACUUGUUUCGGGUUUCCAUCUGAAUCAUGGACAUUCAGGUCAUUCGAUUCCAAUCAAGGUGCAUGUUUUCUUGGUA
Musa acuminata AAA Group (dessert banana) is the source of this 1164-nucleotide long non-coding RNA. RefSeq lists it as uncharacterized. The record is from RefSeq and is a predicted model, not a curated record. The transcript has 7 exons. Lineage: Eukaryota; Viridiplantae; Streptophyta; Magnoliopsida; Zingiberales; Musaceae.